RNAcentral lists this small nuclear RNA (311 nucleotides) under Mustela putorius furo (domestic ferret). Its description in RNAcentral is "7SK RNA (ENSMPUG00000020895.1)". It matches the Rfam family "7SK RNA". From Rfam's summary of the family: 7SK was discovered as an abundant small nuclear RNA in the mid-70s but a possible function has only recently been suggested. Lineage: Eukaryota; Metazoa; Chordata; Mammalia; Carnivora; Mustelidae. The record is from RNAcentral.
GGAUGUGAGGGCGAUCUGGCUGCGACAUCUGUCACCCCAUUGAUCGCCAGGGUUGAUUCGGCUGAUCUGGCUGGCUAGGCGGGUGUCCCCUUCCUCCCUCACCGCUCCAUGUGCGUCCCUCCCGAAGCUGCGCGCUCGGUCGAAGAGGACGACCUUCCCCGAUAGAGGAGAGGACCGUUCUUCGGUCAAGGGUAUACGAGUAGCUGCGCUCCCCUGCUAGAACCUCCAAACAAGCUCUCAAGGUCUGGCGACAAUUCAAAGAAUGUAUACCUAUGAUAUAUUGGCAAUUUCGGGAUGAUCCCGGAAUUUCU